CCCUUAGACGUUCUGGGCCGCACGCGCGCUACACUGACCAGUGCAACAAGCAUCCGUCCUUGGCCGACAGGCCCGGGCAAUCUUUGAACGCUGGUCGUGAUGGGGAUAGACUUUUGCAAUUUUUGGUCUUCAACGAGGAAUACCUAGUAAACGCAAGUCAUCAACUUGCAUUGAUUACGUCCCUGCCCUUUGUACACACCGCCCGUCGCACCUACCGAUUGAAUGGUCCGGUGAAGCCUCCGGAUUGGCGCGCACCUCGGUGCCGCCGAGAAGUUGGCUAAACCUUACCAUUUAGAGGAAGGUGAAGUCGUANCA
This 315-nucleotide ribosomal RNA is filed under the name uncultured eukaryote. RNAcentral describes it as "partial 18S ribosomal RNA". It matches the Rfam family "Eukaryotic small subunit ribosomal RNA", at positions 1470 to 1796 of the family's 1831-position model. The record is from RNAcentral.